CAUCGGUUCCUUCGCGACGACCAGCCGCAAACCCCGCCAGGCCCGGAAGGGAGCAACGGUAGCGGCAAGGGCGGGUGCCGGAGGGUCGGCUGGUGCGG
RNAcentral lists this signal recognition particle RNA (98 nucleotides) under Steroidobacteraceae bacterium. Its description in RNAcentral is "signal recognition particle sRNA small type". It matches the Rfam family "Bacterial small signal recognition particle RNA". Rfam says of the family: The signal recognition particle (SRP) is a universally conserved ribonucleoprotein involved in the co-translational targeting of proteins to membranes. The record is from RNAcentral. Lineage: Bacteria; Pseudomonadati; Pseudomonadota; Gammaproteobacteria; Steroidobacterales; Steroidobacteraceae.